Molecule: long non-coding RNA, 339 nt
Filed under: Elaeis guineensis (African oil palm)
Lineage: Eukaryota; Viridiplantae; Streptophyta; Magnoliopsida; Arecales; Arecaceae
Description: long non-coding RNA (EGUI_LNC078760)
Source: RNAcentral
CCUUAAGAUUUGAAAAUUGCGUGUUUGAAAAUAUCUCAUUUGCUCAUUUGCUUGUUUUUCAAAUUUCUUAGCAUCUUGAAAAUUCACUCAUUCUCAUUUGAUUAUUUAAUUUUGGUAUCAGAGCAUGUUUAAAAAUUAAGUGUAUCAAUGCAUGUUUAAGAAUUAAUUUUAAAGUAUAUCAGAGCAUGUCAAAUUUUAAGGUGUAUCAGAGCAUGUCUAAGAAUUAAUUUUAAAGUUUGCUCAUUUGCUUUUUGCUUAGCAAUUCACUCAUUUUAUUUUUAAGUCUUUUAUUAAUCUUGCUUUUGAUAUUUUUCUUUAAUUUCUCUCAAUUCACUCAUU